CGCUCUUUGAGUCCAAAUAUAAAGAGUCGUGCCUGCCCAGUGAUAAUUUAAACGGCCGCAGUACCCUGACUGUGCUAAGGUAGCAUAAUCACUUGCUUUUUAAUUGAAAGCUAGAAUGAAUGGCUUGACGAAAACAUUACUGUCUCUUUUACAUUAACUAAAAAUUAAUUUUUAGGUGAAGAAGCCUAAAUAAAUUCAAAAGACGAAAAGACCCUAUCGAGCUUAAAAAUAACUUUAAUUUUACCGUAACAGUUAAUUUAAAAUUUAAAAAUAAUUUUUUGUUGGGGCGACAAAAGAACAUAUAAAGCUUCUUUUAAUUUAAAUAACCGAUAAGUUAAAACGAUCCAUUAAUAUUGAUUAAAAGAAAAGUUACCGUAGGGAUAACAGCGUAAUUUCUUCGAAGAGCUCAAAUUGAAGAAGAAGUUUGCGACCUCGAUGUUGGAUUAAAAAUUCACCCCGGUGCAGCAGCCGGGGCAGAAGGUCUGUUCGACCUUUAAAAUUUU
RNAcentral lists this ribosomal RNA (503 nucleotides) under Acanthochitona fascicularis. Its description in RNAcentral is "partial 16S ribosomal RNA". It matches the Rfam family "Bacterial large subunit ribosomal RNA", at positions 1819 to 2597 of the family's 2925-position model. The record is from RNAcentral. Lineage: Eukaryota; Metazoa; Mollusca; Polyplacophora; Chitonida; Acanthochitonidae.